This 440-nucleotide ribosomal RNA is filed under the name uncultured bacterium. RNAcentral describes it as "partial 16S ribosomal RNA". It matches the Rfam family "Bacterial small subunit ribosomal RNA", at positions 338 to 795 of the family's 1533-position model. The record is from RNAcentral.
CCUACGGGAGGCAGCAGUGGGGGAUAUUGCACAAUGGGGGGAACCCUGAUGCAGCGACGCCGCGUGGGUGAAGAAGCGCCUCGGCGCGUAAAGCCCUGUCAGCAGGGAAGAACAUGACGGUACCUGAAGAAGAAGCAACGGCUAACUACGUGCCAGCAGCCGCGGUAAUACGUAGGGGACAAGCGUUAUCCGGAUUUACUGGGUGUAGAGGUGGUGCAGACGGCGAUGCAAGCCAGGAGUGAAAGCACGGGGCCCAACCCCGGGACUGCUCUUGGAACUGCGUGGCUGGAGUGCAGGAGGGGCAGGCGGAAUUCCUGGUGUAGCGGUGAAAUGCGUAGAUAUCAGGAGGAACACCGGUGGCGAAGGCGGCCUGCUGGACUGCAACUGACGUUGAGGCCCGAAAGCGUGGGGAGCAAACAGGAUUAGAUACCCGGGUAGUC